CCGGCCCGGCUGCUCGAGUUCCUCACCGCUGCUGCCCCGAGGUGUGCUCGCAGCUCCAGCUUGGCCCUUGCGGGGCCGGCUCGGAGCAGGCUCCGGGCGCUGCCCCGAGCUCACGGCCGAGCCUCUGCGCUCCCACUGCAGCGGAAACCCCCGCGCCGUUCUUCUCGAGCGCCGCGUUUCCAAACAGUGACAUUUUCCAAGGUAGCCUUGACUGGCUCUGAAUCAGUUUUGGGGGUACUUUUCGUUUUGCUGUGUCACGACAAAUAAGGACAAAUUGCAGCAUAACCUGGCAAAUCCGGGGUUCUGCCCUGUCUGCGUGAUUUUAAUUUCAAGAUAUUUUUCUUCUUUCAUUUGGCCUCUGAAUAAACAUCCCCAAAGAAGGAGGGGCAAGGAGAGAGCCUCGGAGAGAGAACCAGGGAAAGAGUCGUGGUUUGGUUAACUGGAGCUACAGCUGACUCUGCUUCUCUGCUACACCCUGGGCCUGGGAGGGGCCGAUAUUCUCAAUCAAGAUGAAGAGUUGGGAGAUGUGUAAAAGAAGUCUUUGCUUUUUGGUGAAAGGUGAGUGGCAGAGAAAGAAAAAAUAAGAAAACAUGAGCAAAGCAUGGAGAAGGAGGGUAACUCUUGCUUGAGUCGUGUGAGCCUGGCCUAACAGUAUGAAAUCAUGUAAGUGUAAGGGGAAAAUCCUGCUAUAGCGUAGGGCUGGACUAAUAGGUGUUUACAGUCUCUUAUUUCAGUUCUUGUAUAACUCUGGGGAAAUCAGAACUCUCACAAAGCUCUUAUUCUUACAGGAAGUAUCAUGAGUAUGUGGUUGUCACUUAGGAGAGCAUCUCUGGAUUGUAACUUAAGGCUCCAUGGCUGUUUCAGGAACACAGGUUAUGCAUAUUUACAUGCAGAACAUUUGGCCUUUAUUUUGAAGGUCUGCUGUGGCAGUUCCAGAAAACCAUCCUGAGCAAAACAAGGAAAACAGUUCUUAAAUAUACAGUGAGUAUUAUUUUGGCCAAUCUUUUGCAAUUCUAACCAAAUCACAUCAGUGUGUUGAAAGAGAAUCAAAAGGUGGUGUUGAAGAAGGACAAAGGAGGAAGAUGGUUGAGUGGUUUAACAAGAGGUAAGGUGAUAGGAGAUCUUUAUUCUGGCUGUUUGGUUAGUGCCUCCUGCACAGCCUUCUGCAAACUUUUUAAUAACUUCUUUCUCCCAUGGGGUGGAGGACACGAAAUGUGUAGAUGUGUUUAAGUCAUGAGAGCAGUUUGGGGGUGCUGGGACGUGCAGACAUACGGAGCCCCUCUGCUUUUGGGCAGGCAAUUCCCGCGGUAAGGAGAGCACAGCGAGCAAGCUCUGCUCCAGCAGGGUGUUUCUGGGGCAAGAGAAGGACCGGGCCCGAGAGUGCCGAGUGUCCCAGCUCCGGAGUGUCCCUGCUCCCAGGGCAGCUCCCGAGUGUCCCAGCUCCCGAGUGUCCCAGCCCUGCCAGGGGGGCCCAGCCCAGCCCUGGCUGUGCCGGCGAUCCCUGCUGCGCUCCUGGACGGCUGGGUGGGCUGGACUGACUUGGCACCGCCUGCUGAGGCUGCUGCCAACAUUUAACAAAGGAAUCCUUUACACACAUUCUUGCCUGAUACGGCACCUUUUCAGCUCUGCUGCACGGGAAGGGAAGAAAAAGUCUACGUUUAAUAUGUAAAUAAAAGUACUGAUCCAGGAAAAAGGUCACUGCAUUCAUCCUGGGCAGUUCAGAUCGCUCUCAGAUAACUUUGGCUUUACAAGUUUCCAGCACAGCCUGCCAUUGUGUCCCUGCUCACGGAGACCAGGAAAACGGGGAACUGGGUCGGUCAUCAGCACUCAAGACACCACCAUAGUAUCGAGUUAAUCAGAUCAGGGAAAUUCAUCACUGAGUUCUUCACAUCCAGCUAAAGUACGACUGAGAAGUGAAAACAAGGAAGAAACAGCACUGAGGGAAAAAUCAAGUAUGCUGUUCACAGACACUGUAAUUAAACGAUCUCUUUGUUACAGAACAGUUUGGUCAGCUUUGACAGAAUUAAAAACUCCCCAUCAAAAGAAUCUCCAGGACACUGAUCAUAAAUUAAAACCUGCUGGUGUAAAAAGUGCUUGAAAGAGCAUCUUAAAUAUCCUCAGUGAACAAACUGAACAAAGAGACCCUCAUCUCAACCUUCAUCUCAGCUAUUCCUACAACCUCUCAUAAAAGUGUGCACCAAUUGUGGGUUCUUUUCAUUAAGCACAUUCAAGUGGUAUUUCCAAGAUUAAAGCCUGUGAUUCUAUUCCAGCAGAAUAGGAAUAUCAACUUAAGAUCUUUAAAGUGCAUUUAUGUAGUUUUAACACAUUUAAAAGUAUUUUAAUGCUUAAACAAAAAAUUCUGUGGAUCUGAAUGGUGCUUAUUAGGAAUGGUGCUUUAAUGCAGUUAAGAGUGUAAUGCAGUUAAGAGUGUAAAAGGCGUUAGAAUCCUAACAGGAAAGUUACAUCUGUGCAAGUACCUGAAAAGAGCUGAGAAGUUAAGAAAAGGCUCCGGUAUUUCCACAUGGCCUACCAAAGGGAAGGAGCACUGGUAUGCUGCCAAAUUCCAGGAGAGCUGAGCAGUGAUUAGAGUUUAACUUUGGCAUCAGACAGGAGGCUUUUUUCCCCUUGAAAUUCUCUGUGUAAAAAAGUGCUGAAGCUUUUUCUCAGCUUUUCAGUUGGAGGAAAAGAAGAAAACCAAGCCCCACCCUCAAAAGCUAAUAAAGAGCUUGCUUUAGGAAAACAUCUGGUAGCUUUGAGUGCCUUAGUGCAGAGAACUGUGCAUUUUCCCGAUGUGGGAGUGUGGUGUGCACACUGUUUCUGAAGCCAUGAGCAGCAUGGGAGGUAGGAAAAUCAUUUUGCUGAGUCACAAGUAGCAACUAAUAGAAGAAGAAGAAACUGCAAGUUCUGACACAGACUUUAAGCAGAAAGAAAACUGUCUGGGAUGGUGGGGAGUGGUGAGGUCUGUUCUCUGUAACAGUGUGACAAUUCCAUGCCACCACAUCCAGUCACAGCCUGGCAUUGCAGCACCCCAGCGUGACACCACCAGGAAAAGCACCUCGGGAACAGUGAGGAGACCUGGAUUCUGCAGCUGGGAGUCACAAACCAGUCCUACCAACUGAGGACAGGAGUCAGAGCACAGCCCUGCCAACUGAGCAAAGUUCAGAAAGAAGCAGGGAACAGAAAGAAGAUGAGGUGAAGGGCAACCUCUGAGAGCUUCCUGCUGGCUGUGAGCACUGUGCCUGCUUGGCUGGGGUCUCCUGGGCACACACCACAGCACAGUGAGGCACUCCUGGGCUUUUCACCUGGUUAAAAAAGAGCAGCUUCAGUAGCCAAAAGUGGUAGUGAGUCCUACUCCUCUCCUCAGCUACUACAUUAGCCCAUACAGACUUUUACCACCUCCACCUGGAUUCCAGCCCUGAGGCCUUGGAAAAUAAACAGAGCAGCCCUGGAGGCCCCCAGGCCUCAGCCACUGACUGGUGAGAGCCCCAGCCCCCAGGGUGCCACCAGCUCUCACAGCUGGGACCAGAGGCAGCAGCAGCUGAAGUUCCCAUAGGACCCUGCCAAGGAGCUGUACAGGAUUAAGGGGACAGGUAAAAGUGUCACUUCUGGAACUUCACCAUCACUGUCAGAAAACAGAAUUUCCCUUUCAAAAACAAACCAAAAAGAAACAAUAAUCCUCCCCACCAAAACCAAGAAAGGCAGUGCUGCCAAACAAAUCAGUCAGACCCUUACCUUGCAGACAUGAACACGACUUCAGGUGCUUUUAACAAUGAGCCAUUCACAGAACCAUUUUAUUAAUUUUUCUCCCCCACUCCAGGAUUAGGGACUGACAUCUCACUCUGUAUCAUCUACUGGGAAGAAGGUGAAGAAGUCACUGGCUCCUUUCACCUCCAGUAAAUACAAGGACAUCUGCAACCUGCAAGUGUCAGAGAAGGAUUACCAUGCAGCCACAGCUGGGCUGAAGGGCAGCAGACAUUCUACAGAGCACAAGGUGAAAUGAAUUUCUAUAAAAAAGAGAAGCAAAACGCCAGAUUCUCAAGCAAAGUGCCAGCAGACCUUUAAUGGUGCUGGGAACCAGCCAAGACUCAGUUACAUUUCUUUUGAAAGGAUCCUGUAUAAUGAAGCACACUGAAAAAAUAUGCAGAGAGACUGACAGCAGUGUUUAUUUUGUUCAUGGCACUAUAUUUAUCCAGGGAACAGAGGGAAAAAAAAAGCUGUGGACUGAGAAAAAAGGUGGUGGUCUUCCAAUAACACCAUAAAACCACACAGACCCAGAGCAGAAGGCCAGAAAACUCUUUGUUCCCUCUGCAUGGACAUGGGGAUGCUGCCCCUGUAACAUCCAGUAGCUUUACAAGUGAUGGAGCACACAGCACGCAGGCCUUGGAGGGAAGGAGCCGGGGUUUAUUUUUUAAGGAGGUGGGAAGCUGAAGGGGAGGAUGAAAAAAUGGUAUAAACCAUGUUUUAUAAGCAAAGUUUUAAAGGACCCUUAGCAGGCUUAAAAAAAAAAGAUGAAGUACAGUCACUACAUUCUUUCUUUCCAUGGACGGAACAGGCCAGUGAAAACAACUGACCUCAACUGUUUGAAUCGUGUGUGUGUUGUUAUGCAACAGCCAGUCCCCUGCACUUCUCCUGGGGAAGUGCACAUGGUAGAGAAGUUCAUUCUUUAAUUACCCUCCUGAAUUUGUUUUACUUACAGUUAACCUGUGGCUGAUUGCUAACAUCAGCAACCAUAACAGCAGUUCAAAGAAUAUUCCCUUUUGCAACAGUACCUAAUUUCUCCAUAUGAGAAAACUCUGUAUUCAGCUCAUUUGGCUCGUUCCCUCACAGAGUAUUUCUUUGGUUACAUUGGUCUUCUACGUUCAAGGGAAAGUUUUGGCUUUUUGGCUUUUUUUCAACAGGAAAAAUAAUUUAAAGUCUUCCAUGGCUGACUAUAAACCCAAGGCAGGCAUAUAGCCCCAGCUCUCCAAAGCCCUACACAGAGGAAGGAACAAAUCCCGAUUCCUUGCAGGCUUGCCUUCUCUUCCCACCCUCCCCACUCCCACGGAGGCCACUGCCCCAGCCCCCUACCCAGAGUCCCCCUGCACAGGCAGCAGCUUAGCUCCUGUUUCUGUCCUCCAACUCCUGCUUGAGCAGAAGGAAGCCAGUGCUGUGCUAGGUUCCAUGUGUGCAGACCACAGAUCCUUCUUUGGCCUGGCUCGCCUAGGAACCAGCCAAACUUCCUUGGCAAUCCCUGCCUAAAGCAGAGGAAAUCUUUGGAUUUAUCGUCUCCACCAAGCCCUUAAUUUUCAUGCAACUGGGAUUAAGUCAGCUGUCUGCGAGAUCUUUCUUGUCACUGAAGCUGGCCAAAAGAUUUAAGUUAUUUUUGAGGAGGGGGUAGAACAGGACAGAGCACUAAUGCAAAAGCAGUGGAAACUAUACUAAAAAUAUUUCAAAUAUGACAGCAUUCUCUUAAUAGUUAUGUUGUACUUCUGUUCAGCUGAAAGGUGACUUGGGAGAGAUUUUGACAGGCGUUUGCCGUUUUAAGUAUUUCAGAUCCUGCCAGUUUCUCCAGCAGUUUCUCAGCAUUGCAAGAUACUGGUCAAAACAUCCUGAUUUAGCCAGUUAAGCACAGCUAAUUAUAGUUGCUUACUGACAAUCCAAGAGUUGUCCUGGGGCAUGUGUGCUCUUCCCAGGAAAACAAAGCUGGGAGUAACAAUUCAGGUUCACAGCAUAAAAAAAAUUCAGUAUUAAUUUAGUAGCCCCCAUCUCUUGAAAGGAUCAAAAGCUGAUAUUCCAUUGCUUGCUUCCAAACCAGCCCAUCACCACAGGAGCUCCCAACUCUUACCAAAGCUUGAGGCCAGCUGGAAACAGCCUCCAUCACUGAGCUCCACAGCUGAUUGAGAAAGAGCCACUUGUGGGUUUGUCUGAAGUGCCCAAAGCUCUCCCUCCAGCAUUUCUGCCUGUUUUGCUUUCAAGAGAUUUUCUGUUCAAUCAGUGACUGGUCUUUAAUGAAAUGGAAUUUUCUAGUGCUUCUCCCUCUCUGCCUGUAAGCACAGUAACUGAGCUCUUUCAGAACAUCAGAAAAUUUGGAACAUCUUCACUUUCUAAUAAUCUCAAAGCAUCAUCAGUGUACCAAGUCCUUCAUGGGUAAUCAUUUUCCUCCUCUGCAAAUGAGAGGUUUUAAUUUAGUGCACCCAGGGCACAGCAUUGCCCUGCAGUCCCUCUCACUGGGCCAUGGACAACACACAGAGUGGAUCUGAUCUUAGCUGCCCUCUCCAUCCAUCCGUCCAUCCAUCCAUCCAUCCAUCGCGGUCUCACUCCCUCUGUUCUGUCAAUUAAGUCCAUUCCACUCACUCUCUAAAAGGCAAGUCCUUGAUUUUGGAAUGCUGGCAGACUGGUCAGGUGAGUGUGAGAGAUCUACAAUGGCAUUUUCCUUUCCUCAACUUCAGUAUUUCACUGCACAUGCUUGCAGUAGUUGCAACUCCCUUUCUGGCAUGUUUUGAGGGAUUGUUUUUGGUUUUAAACAUUUGGCAAGCCCAAGUUAAAGAUGACAUUUUUAUGCCAUAAAGCUAGACUCAGUGUUAUAAACACAAUAUUAGUACUGAAAACUCAAAAAGGCAAACUAAUUCAGCUUUCUUGUGGACAGAUACAGCUGUUGGCUUUCAGUGCCAGACACUGCUAUUUCAGCUUUUGUUCUGAAAGAAACAAACCAGUCAAACCAGUGUCAAUUUAGUCAUCUCGAAAUUAGAAAGGAGAACAACUUAACUCAUAUUAACAAAAUUCAUGGAACUGAAUGAAAUUGCUUUUCUUUAGGAAAAAAAUCAGCAGCUCAGUCUUUGGAAAAUAAUUAGAUGACAAAAAUAAUCUGCCAAAUAGGAAUUACUGAGGGAAGCUGAGAAGCAGUGCUACAGCAUCUCACAACAGCAUAUCCACAACUGUUACAUUCAGACACCAAUCCCACACUUGCCCCCUCCUGAGCUUGGAAUAGCUCAGCUCUAGAAAGGUUCAACAAAACAUAAUUGUAAUUAAGUGUGAGGGAAAGGGGAGUGAGGGAUCUGUUCUUUCAACUCAUAGGGUUGGUUCUGCUGCACAAAGUCUGCUACCAAAGGCAGCAGAGAAAAUUAAUUGCUUCCCUUGGUUCUGAUAUCAUCUCACAGACUCCUGCGGGUAAUUACUAACCUGCUUCCCAUAAAGCCCUCCAGGAACUCGCAGCCUGGGGCUCCGACUCCUGGAACAAACCAGGGAUUACACAUCUUUCAGAGGGUAACAGUGCUCCAGAUUGACUCACACUGCCAGGUCACACCGCUGCCAUCAGUCACUGCUGCCCACAGCGCUCCGUGGGCACUGCUGCACUUGGCACAAGACAGGGCUGUGGUGCUGAUACUGCAAUGUGUCUGUGGUGCUAAUAUUGCAACAUGGUGCUAAUAGUGCAACAUGUCUGUGAUGCUGAUAUUGCAGUACAUCUGUGGUGCUGAUACUGCAACAUCUGUAGUGCAAAUACUGCAACAUGUCCACGGUGCUGAUACUACAACAUGGCACUAAUACUACAAUAUAUCCGUGGUGCUGAUACUACAAUUUAUUCUUUUAAGACAGCUGAAGCAGCAUUAGGUGCCUUAUCCUUCAGGCUUUUGGAGACAUGCGUGAUUUGGAAGCAUUGUAACAGCAUAUUUAUACCACCACUUGUCAAGAACUUGAUUUGAGAAAAUUCCUUGAGUUUUUUUCUAAACAUUAGAAUUUCACUGAAGUACAUGUGGAAGCAGAGAUUGCUUCCUUUCACUCUUCCAGGGAGCAGAAAUCCCACUGGAUCCCAUCCUGUGCUCACCUGCAGUCUGCAGUCUGAUUCUGUGGAGAGCUGCUGAUAAACCACUUAGAGGGAGUGCAGGAAUCUCAGAGGAGCUGGCAGUGUCCCAAAGCAGCAGCUAAGACUGUUGGCUUUUGUGAUUAUUUGUGCUUGUUGUCUUCUCCACACAAUCUGAGUGGUCAGUGAGGGAGAAGUUCAUUAUUACAAAGGCUGUAGAAUAUCAGGCUGGAGUUUUUAUGUCAAUUCCUUGAAGGGAAACAAUUCCAGCGAAAGACUGCCUUUGGAAUUAAACUGUAUCUAUCUUAUGAAUUAUUUAUUUAUUUUUAAAUGAAAAAGACCAUAUAACAGGUAAGUUUGGGUUUGGUACCAAACACUCCAUUCAGCUCUAAACAGACCCAGACAAGAAGAGUCUCCUUCAGGUCAUUGAUAACAACCUCAUAACCCCCAGCCCCUCCUAUGCAGGUAUUUGAACUGCAGUGACUCAGAAUUUCACUGUUUUAUUCAAGCAAAGGCUCUUACCUGAGCAGUUCAUUCUCUAACAAAACCCAGCAACACCUGAAAAGCCAGAGGGGUUAAUGCCACCAUUUCCACAGGCAGUGAAAAACUCCUAAGAACAGCUUAGAAAGCUCAGAGCAGCCCUUAGAAAGAUUUUUCUGCACCAAAGCCUUAUUGUCUUACUUUUUUUCCCCAACUUGGGUACAUUUCACUUUGAAAAAAAAAAAUACAGUUGAAGAGCAGCAAAGUAAAUGUAAGAGUUACAAGAAGUUCUUCCACUUCCAUAUACUGUCACCAUCUUUCCAGUCACUUUCAACUUCACCUCAUCUGAAGUCUUUACCUGGUUUUCUCCCAAACAAAUAUAAUUCUCUUCGUAUACUUAAAAAGUAUUUUCUAAAGCCCAUCUUAAAGAACUAAAAUUGAUUCUUCACAUUAAUGAGCUAACGAAAACAUUAUGGCAAUUCUAAAGUGAUAAUUGUUUCAUGGCCUCAUAAGGAUUCCCUUCUGGAGAAAUUAGAUAUAAAGCCAAAUUAGCUGAUUUAUAUUUUGGAGGCAGGGUGACUCAACACACAUUCAUAUCUAGAGCUUCAAUCUCUGUGCAGGGGAACAGAAGCAUCCAGUUGAUGAAAGGAAACAAUGGAAAGAAACAGCAGAAUCCUAAUUAAAUGCCCACUCCUUCUGUGCUUACUGGGAAGCUCUUCUUACACCCACCCACCUGGCAUUUGGCAGAGAAAUUUUCAACCCUCAAGCAAUUCACCCUCUAAACUUCCCACAGCCUGGAUUUGAAUCCUGCUAAUUCAGGACCAGUGCUGUGCUUGGGAACAGUAUUCCCCAAAAUACAUCUGAAGCUGGUGAAGCACACAGCUGUCUCCCAGCCCCAUGAAAUACAUUCUUUUGUACCAAAGCAGUUUUACUGUGAGCUGCCACAAGCACAGCUCUGCUCCAUUGGCACAGGACACAGCUCCCACCUCCAGAGGCCUGGCACUGGCAGAGGCUGGGCCAAGCCCCUGCCUGGAAGCUGUCACUAACCCAGGGACACAACUCGCGGCCAACCUGCCCCUCCUGCUCACAGAGCUCACCCACACCUUGCUCCCACACAAACAGCUCCAGGAGGGCACCUCCCAGACAGAAGGACAGCAGAAAGCAGUCUGGAUUCAUGUUUAUUGAAGCCAGUAAUUAAAGACGUCCUCGUUUUGCCAGCACUAGAAAGCAAGGUUCCACAUGACUGCAUACUGCACCUGGUUAAAGCCAUACAACUGGACUAACGUUUGUUUCAUACAUUUGCAGUCCUAAUUGUAAGUUGGAAGAAAAACGAAUAAACUUAGUAUACAGGACAGUGAACUUUCAUUUACAGCAUGUAUAUUGUUAAGUUCACAAUGUACAGAGCAGUCACUUUCAACGUAGUUAAAUUAAAUAAAAUACGAAAUUGUGUUCAGUUUAAACAGUUUUUUUUAAAAAUGCCAAUAAAAAAGUGCAAACUUAAAAUCAAGCAGCAUAACCACAGCAUUUUUAUGGAGGGCCAAUCUUUAAAGUUUUCUAUUUGCUUCAAGUUGAAUGCUUUCAUCUUUUGUUUUCUUAGUUUAAACAUGAACAGUAGAUGCAGUCACUAUAAUGCAUAUAAAUAUAGGCAUAUAAUAGUUUAAACAGUCUACCAUACAAGUGUAUCUGCAAAUAAAAUGAAGUUUCACUUGAAAAUGUAAAGGCUGUUUGCAUUUGGCCUUUGGUUCCAAUGCGUGAAGACACCAGAAUAACAACUGUGCAGCUCACCAAAGCCAGCAGACUUUGGCACCCACAGAAUGCUACAUUACUUACACCUCUUCAGUAAACUAGGAGCAUUCACUUGCAAUUAGAAACUGGAACUCUGUCCCUGUUUUGUCUUUCUGCAAAGUCGGUAAGUUAUCACACAGUAACAGUUUAGAUCAAUUUUAGUAUACUCAACAUUUUUAUACAUUUGGAAAAUACUUCAGUUGUAAGUUUUACCCAUAUUGCUAGAAAAGUGCUUAUCAGGUUAGAUGACAAAAAAGGCAGCUUCAGACUGAGGUUUUUAAACUAUGCCAUUAGAGUCACACACUUCAGUUUUCCUGGCCGAUUUUUCAUAGUUUAGUCACCAAUCUCACUUCUCACUGUCAGGAGGACAGUGUGUAACUACUUCUGGUGUGGUAACUUGCAACUGCAGCUGUUACACCAGGAAGUGCAUCCACAUCACCAUUAGCCAGCCACAGCCUUAGUCUAACUGUUAUCUAGACAACUGUGUAACUUCAGAUCAUACCAUUUCUUUAAAAAUUAAAAAAAAAAGAGUAUUUUCAACAAAAAAAAACCUGGCACAAGUAACAUACUCAUGUUAAUGUUUGUCAAAGAGGCAAGUAAAUACUCUUAGCUUUCUAGAUGUCUAGACAGGCUCACAUGAACAGCCUCUUGGUGUAACAUAGGAGUUGAGGUUAACACCCAGCACUGUGUUAGUGGUCAGUCUAAUUCUGUAUAUUUAAGUAACAAUAUAUAUUAGGGAAGUUAUAUCCAGACAUCAGAUUUAGUACAACAAGUUCAUAUCAAUAAAAAGUAAACUCUGUAUGACUCAAAUUGUGGUUUUUCCCUUCAGCAUUAAGAGCACAGAAUAUGCUUGGUAUUUUUAACUUCUGGUAGUGUGUCCAUGUAAAACAAGCAUAUAAUGUAUAAAAUCAAAGUGCCAUUUCAGUAACCACUGCAGUUGUGUUUGUACAGAAUGAGGGUUUAUGUGACCAUGGACAGGGCUCCCUCAGAGCAAUGGGGACAACCACAAUCCAUCUUUCCAAAUGAAAUGCUACAUGAAAGAAAACACAAAACAUCUUCUUCACGAUGUCCGUCGUGUACACAUUCAUACUUUUUAGGUUACCUUCAGGAUUGGAGUUGGCUGCAUCUGCAGCAGAUGUUGUUGGAACUAGGGCCUUGAAAGUUUUUUUUAAAAACCUCCAUAGGUGUAAGGCAGGAAUCCAUUUUAGCUUGGUAGCUAAUACUUAGUUACAAAAAAAGUAAGAAAGAAAAAUACUGAGAGUGUUCUGUAGGACAUUUCAUUAUGGGAACAUGAUCCAUCACCCACCAUUUUUCAUAGGCCAGCCUCUUGGCAUAAAAAAAGGCAGAAGCUAU
This is a long non-coding RNA of Catharus ustulatus (Swainson's thrush), 11395 nucleotides long. RefSeq lists it as uncharacterized. The record is from RefSeq and is a predicted model, not a curated record. The transcript is spliced from 2 exons. Lineage: Eukaryota; Metazoa; Chordata; Aves; Passeriformes; Turdidae.